AUCCAACUGACGAGUCCCGGAUGAAAUGAAACGCGCGUCCCGGAU
RNAcentral lists this non-coding RNA (45 nucleotides) under Schistosoma mansoni. Lineage: Eukaryota; Metazoa; Platyhelminthes; Trematoda; Strigeidida; Schistosomatidae. The record is from RNAcentral.